GGAGAGCAUUACAGCUUGUGUUCCCAGCACGGAAGUGAGGGUAGGAAGCAGCACAGAAGCGGAAACUACCAUUCUGUCUACAGAUUCAGGUACAUCUCUUUUUAAUAUUCUAUGUGAUGAAAUGGAAAAUACUCAAAAGAGUGUCUGCUGCAUAUGGAGGCCCCACGUUUGUCUCAAGGAAAAGCACUCGUGCAACUGUUGAGUUACAAGCUAAACUAACUGCUUCUGUCGUGAAACACCACUUUCAUGUGAAAGAAAGGCUGAGAGACAAGUCAUAGUUAUUCAGACAUGGGAAUCUGGCAUGUAUAAGCAAGCAGGCUUGUCACUUCAAAGAAAAUAACUGACAGUAUUUGUUGCCAAGGGUAAAAAUUGAGUCUUCAGGCAAAAAUUAGAAUUUUGGAAAAUUUGUAUCAGCCACCAUGAGCUUCACACCUUACCAG
RNAcentral lists this long non-coding RNA (440 nucleotides) under Equus caballus (horse). RNAcentral's name for it is "lncRNA (ENSECAG00000052292.1)". The record is from RNAcentral. Lineage: Eukaryota; Metazoa; Chordata; Mammalia; Perissodactyla; Equidae.